AUUGAACGCUGGCGGCAUGCUUUACACAUGCAAGUCGAACGGCAGCGCGGGCUUCGGCCUGGCGGCGAGUGGCGAACGGGUGAGUAAUGCAUCGGAACGUGCCCAGUAGUGGGGGAUAGCGCGGCGAAAGCCGGAUUAAUACCGCAUACGACCUGAGGGUGAAAGCGGGGGACCGAAAGACCUCGCGCUAUUGGAGCGGCCGAUGUCGGAUUAGCUAGUUGGUGGGGUAAAGGCUUACCAAGGCGACGAUCCGUAGCUGGUCUGAGAGGACGACCAGCCACACUGGGACUGAGACACGGCCCAGACUCCUACGGGAGGCAGCAGUGGGGAAUUUUGGACAAUGGGGGCAAGCCUGAUCCAGCCAUGCCGCGUGCGGGAAGAAGGCCUUCGGGUUGUAAAGCGCUUUUGUUCGGGAAGAAAUCCUGUGGGCUAAUACCCCGGGGGGAUGACGGUACCGGAAGAAUAAGCACCGGCUAACUACGUG
This 484-nucleotide ribosomal RNA is filed under the name uncultured bacterium. RNAcentral describes it as "partial 16S ribosomal RNA". It matches the Rfam family "Bacterial small subunit ribosomal RNA", at positions 29 to 507 of the family's 1533-position model. The record is from RNAcentral.